GACGAACGCUGGCGGCGUGCUUAACACAUGCAAGUCGAACGGAAAGGCCCUGCUUUUGUGGGGUGCUCGAGUGGCGAACGGGUGAGUAACACGUGAGUAACCUGCCCUUGUCUUUGGGAUAACUUCAGGAAACUGGGGCUAAUACCGGAUAGGAGCUCCUGCUGCAUGUUGGGGGUUGGAAAGUUUCGGCGGUUGGGGCUCGACUCGCGGCUUAGCAGCUUGUUGGUGGGGUAGUGGCUUACCAAGGCUUUGACGGGUAGCCGGCCUGAGAGGGUGAACGGCCACAUUGGGACUGAGAUACGGCCCAGACUCCUACGGGAGGCAGCAGUGGGGAAUAUUGCACAAUGGGCGGAAGCCUGAUGCAGCAACGCCGCGUGCGGGAUGACGGCCUUCGGGUUGUAAACCGCUUUCGCCUGUGACGAAGCGUGAGUGACGGUAAUGGGUAAAGAAGCACCGGCUAACUACGUG
RNAcentral lists this ribosomal RNA (468 nucleotides) under uncultured bacterium. RNAcentral describes it as "partial 16S ribosomal RNA". It matches the Rfam family "Bacterial small subunit ribosomal RNA", at positions 28 to 507 of the family's 1533-position model. The record is from RNAcentral.